CUGCGGCAGCGACGCUGAUGCGUUGUUGGGUAGGGGAGCGUUCUGUAAGCCUGUGAAGGUGGCCUGUGAGGGUUGCUGGAGGUAUCAGAAGUGCGAAUGCUGACAUAAGUAACGAUAAAGCGGGUGAAAAGCCCGCUCGCCGGAAGACCAAGGGUUCCUGUCCAACGUUAAUCGGGGCAGGGUGAGUCGACCCCUAAGGCGAGGCCGAAAGGCGUAGUCGAUGGGAAACGGGUUAAUAUUCCCGUACUUGGUGUUACUGCGAAGGGGGGACGGAGAAGGCUAUGUUGGCCGGGCGACGGUUGUCCCGGUUUAAGCGUGUAGGUGUGUGUUCCAGGUAAAUCCGGUUCACUUUAACACUGAGGCGUGAUGACGAGGCACUACGGUGCUGAAGCAACAAAUGCCCUGCUUCCAGGAAAAGCCUCUAAGCAUCAGGUAACAUCAAAUCGUACCCCAAACCGACACAGGUGGUCAGGUAGAGAAUACCAAGGCGCUUGAGAGAACUCGGGUGAAGGAACUAGGCAAAAUGGUGCCGUAACUUCGGGAGAAGGCACGCUGACAUGUAGGUGAAGUGAUUUACUCACGGAGCUGAAGUCAGUCGAAGAUACCAGCUGGCUGCAACUGUUUAUUAAAAACACAGCACUGUGCAAACACGAAAGUGGACGUAUACGGUGUGACGCCUGCCCGGUGCCGGAAGGUUAAUUGAUGGGGUCAGCGCAAGCGAAGCUCCUGAUCGAAGCCCCGGUAAACGGCGGCCGUAACUAUAACGGUCCUAAGGUAGCGAAAUUCCUUGUCGGGUAAGUUCCGACCUGCACGAAUGGCGUAAUGAUGGCCAGGCUGUCUCCACCCGAGACUCAGUGAAAUUGAACUCGCUGUGAAGAUGCAGUGUACCCGCGGCAAGACGGAAAGACCCCGUGAACCUUUACUAUAGCUUGACACUGAACAUUGAGCCUUGAUGUGUAGGAUAGGUGGGAGGCUUUGAAGUGUGGACGCCAGUCUGCAUGGAGCCGGCCUUGAAAUACCACCCUUUAAUGUUUGAUGUUCUAACGUGGACCCGUGAUCCGGGUUGCGGACAGUGUCUGGUGGGUAGUUUGACUGGGGCGGUCUCCUCCUAAAGAGUAACGGAGGAGCACGAAGGUUGGCUAAUCCUGGUCGGACAUCAGGAGGUUAGUGCAAUGGCAUAAGCCAGCUUGACUGCGAGCGUGACGGCGCGAGCAGGUGCGAAAGCAGGUCAUAGUGAUCCGGUGGUUCUGAAUGGAAGGGCCAUCGCUCAACGGAUAAAAGGUACUCCGGGGAUAACAGGCUGAUACCGCCCAAGAGUUCAUAUCGACGGCGGUGUUUGGCACCUCGAUGUCGGCUCAUCACAUCCUGGGGCUGAAGUAGGUCCCAAGGGUAUGGCUGUUCGCCAUUUAAAGUGGUACGCGAGCUGGGUUUAGAACGUCGUGAGACAGUUCGGUCCCUAUCUGCCGUGGGCGCUGGAGAACUGAGGGGGGCUGCUCCUAGUACGAGAGGACCGGAGUGGACGCAUCACUGGUGUUCGGGUUGUCAUGCCAAUGGCACUGCCCGGUAGCUAAAUGCGGAAGAGAUAAGUGCUGAAAGCAUCUAAGCACGAAACUUGCCCCGAGAUGAGUUCUCCCUGAGACUUUA
This 1644-nucleotide ribosomal RNA is filed under the name Salmonella enterica. Its description in RNAcentral is "partial 23S ribosomal RNA". It matches the Rfam family "Bacterial large subunit ribosomal RNA", at positions 1200 to 2824 of the family's 2925-position model. Lineage: Bacteria; Pseudomonadati; Pseudomonadota; Gammaproteobacteria; Enterobacterales; Enterobacteriaceae. The record is from RNAcentral.